UUGAUUAUGGUGAAGUGCAAGACAUCACCAGAGACUUGUAGGAAGAAAGCAUUACAUUGGAUGUUAGGUGGCUUGCGUGGCUCUAAAUUGAAUUUGCUGAUCUUAAUAUACAAGUUGACCAAGGAAGAUCAAGUUAGCAUUCUAGGAAAAGCAUUUAAUGGAGGGUAAUGAGAUAGACAAGUUAGAUUUCAGAUCUCGACGUAUUCUUGUGGCACACUGGUUAUGAAUAUUCAAAUGUGGAACAUCAUUUUCGUGUUGGGCACACAAGAAGCAAUUAACACGUGGGAAUCACAAUGCAAAUGAUUCGACAUAAAUAUGCAUUUCAAUGCCAUUUAUGUGCAUAAAAUAAGAAACAAUCACAAGUGAAUUGACAUUGGAUUGUUACAACAGGAGAUUUGGCCUUGUUUCUUAUUGCUUUUUCAGGAAAAAGAGGAGAGAACUUUGUCGGCACAAAUAUUUUAGUUUGGUAGAUCUAUCAGAGAAUCCAUGUAAAGAUUGUACUGAGAGAAAAAAAGAACCUAAAAAUGAUAAUUAUUUUAAGUAAUCUACAUAGUAUUUUUCUCAAACUCACUAACAAGUACAUGGCAAAAGAGAGAGAACCCAAAACAGAACGUAGCAGCUAGUUUAUGCCCAACAAAUUCAUAGAUAUGUCUUCUGAUGGUAGUUACCACAAAGCUAUUGAUGAACAAUGGAAAAUUUAUAGACGAAGGCACAAUAGAGUGGCAUAUGUCAAUAGAAAAUAUCGUCCUUCACGUAUGCAGACCUGUUCUCUUGCCAUCUUUCAACUAAGUUAGCAUAUUCAUAGCUUUUUCCUUUACAUUUCAGUGAUUAGCUGAUGCAUCUCUACUGUCAUAUUUUAAAUUAAUAUUAUUAUGUAUAAUGUUUAUAGUUAUGUUGUAUGUGCAGGAAGACUUUCACCAAAUUAUCAUGCAGUAAACCCUGAAUACAACAAGCUAGGUAAGAAACACCACCUUAACAUCAGCUAUUAUUUAAUGCUCAGGUAAAAAAAGAUAUUAUUAAUAACAUGAUUAAAUUGCACAUAUCAGUUGCAUUUAUAUUGGUUUCAAUCAUCAAUUCUGUAUGUUCAUACCCUUUUUCUUUCUUCUGAGUAAGGCUUUGCAUGUUCAAAGAUCCACUUGUAAGUAGCAUCCCUUUUGCAUUCUUAUCAAUAAUAUAAACUUGUGAUUAACUUCCUAUUAGUUCAAAAGUUGGGUGGUUCUUUUUCAAUAAUCAUAGCAUUUGUCUUCUUUUAUUUUAGCAUAUUCAAUAUAUGAUCCCUCAAAUGUUACGGAUUCACACUCUUCUAUCUCGUAGUACUUGGCGUAUUUUAUUCAACAUAGAUUCCUCGAUGUGGUGCUUUGAUGACAUUUAGAGUUCAUGGACAAUCUUGGAAUGUUCUUUUGAGAGAAGAGAGUCUUUGACUUAAACUUUGUCUCGAGAUAUUGAAAUGCAUGCAAGCACAAAAUUAAAUAUCUAUGAAGAAACAGAGCUUAUCUAUCAUACUAAUAUAUCUACAGAGAAACAAAGCUUAUCAACUCAUACAAAGGGGAAUAAGGAUAUUCAUAUGUGACUAAACAAAUACAAUUCAACUGAAAUCUUCUGGAGUAUACUCAAAUAUUCAACAGAUCUGCUUCAUGCAAGAUCAAAGUUAAUUGUGGGACUAUGUCUUAGUGUUGCUUAUUGGGUACAAUUCAUUUUGUCGGUGAUUCCUGAUAACACUGAUCUAUGGACAUUGAUGCGCUUAGGUGACAGGCAAAACUAAAAAAAAUCUGGUCUCUUGCUGCAUUUAUAUAAUCCAAUUCCUAAAUAAGCUUAGUAUUUGACAAAAGAAGGUGCUUCAGCAUGAAUAUUUUCUUCCCCUAGUAAAGAAGAUUGGCUCCUUAUUGUUUUCAUUCCAACCUAUCAAGAUGGUACUAGAGCAUGUGUUUCUCUUUGGCCCUCUUUUGAUAAUGCGCUACUGCCCAUCAUCUCAACAAGAAUUCUUCCAGCAUAAACUGUUGGUUAGAAAAUGUAGUUAAUUUUCGAAGAAUUGAUAGAAGUGAAAUCCUCAGCUUUACCUUCAAAAAAAUAAGUAAUGAAAUAAAGGUUAUUUCCUACAAGCUCAUGUACUCAAGUUGUUAAAGCUCAUUUCUCCACUACCGAAAUCAGUAGUGUUGAUCUAGCGUCACAGCCUGAUGUUACUUUGGGACUGGGAUGGUCUUGUGUUACAGUGCAACUGUGAUAGCUGAAGGCAUUAUUGAUGAAGUCCUUGGUGAAUACAGGCUAGUUCAAGGUUUUUUCCACACCUUCCCCCUGGACAACAGCCUAAACCAACCCCAGGAACACAAUUAAUUCUAGACUAAUUGAUGGCUGGGUAGUGAGUGGUAGAGGUUGGCACUGUGUUGAGGCAUUGAUGGAGUCAGUGGAUAGUUGAUUCCCCCACCUGCACAGGGAACGAUGGUGCCCUUUUAUCAAUUCCCUCUUCCCUCAGAUGAAGGUUGCUCUUGUUUGGUGCUAUAUCUUGCUUCGAGUUCUGCACAUAGCUCAUCUUCAUGUUCCCUUGGAGGUACGUUUUCCUUGCAUUAAUUAAGAUACUGAAUGUAUUUGUUUGUCAUGCAUUGGCUUUGGUGAAGGUUAAUCAGGGAUUCAGGAUCGUCAUGAUAUCGUAGAUUUCACGGCAUUAUAGUUUCAUGUUUUGAGGAAGUAGAUGUCACGCAUGUUAAUGAUAGCAGUAAUCUGAUCUUAUUUGAGCAAGCUGAACUUGUUGAGUCCUUGGACCAAUUCUCUUGGUGACGCAGUAGGUGUAUGUCUAUGAACAGCCGCUCCUUCAGUUGUACAUUUUAAAUUUUUCAUGUUGAUGAUGUGCAUUGGUGACUCUUUUAACAACAGUAUCGAUUUUGAAGGUUCAUUCCAGGUUCUAAAUUUCUUGAUUAUGGUGUCAAUACUCUCUGACAUUCUUUUGUGAUAGAAUAAAAAAAAAUGCCAAAGAGAAGAUUGUACAAAUAUUGACUUGGUUUUCUACUGUGCACCACUUCAGAGGGAUUCUUUUGAGCAGAUUAGCAUUUGGAUUUGCGCAUGAAUUCACCUUCAUUUCUUGUUUUCUUUUUUUCCAAGAGGAAAAGUUGGAACUAGAGGUCUAAUCUGCUUCCAUUAAGAAAAUUAAUUGUCUUAGAACUCCCCCAAGGGUAGAGUACAAAGUGAGAGAAAGAUAGAAAGAAAGGGAGAAGGAAGAGGAGAGGAAGGCCUAAAAAACAAAACAAAAACAAGAGAGGGGGAGGGUUAAUCAGCAUGCUAGUUCCCCUCUCUUACAGCAACUGGAUAUACUAGGCUUAAAGAGGAGUGUGAAUGCUUCUUGCCAUCAUACACUCGGAUAAAGGCUUAAAGCAUUAAUUUGGAGUCUUUUUUUUCUCUAGAAAGAAAAGUCUAAUGUUACAUUCAAGCUAGAUGCACCAGCACGUAACAAUGCUAAUAAAGUCCCAAAAUUUCCUCCACAAUUUUUCUAUCACAUUGCUUCUACUAGGAGGUUCACGAUUCAAAGACGGAUCGACGUAAAUACCUAAUUCUCAUAGCGUGUAACAAGUGCUUCCAUGUAUUCUUUGAAAACUGCUAGGUAGCAAAUUAUUAGUUGAAAGAAAACUCUAGAGUUUCAUUCUAGCCCCAUGCACCAGCAUGUAAUAGCACAAAUAAAGUCCCAACCUUUCCACAAUUAUUUUUCUAACAUAUCGCUUUUACUAGGAGGUUCACGAUUCAAAGAUGGAUCUAUGCAAAUACCAAAUUCUCCUAGCAUGUAACAAAUGCUUCCAUAUAUUCUUUGAAAACCGCUAGGUAGCAAAUUAUUAUUUGAAAGCAAACUCUAGAGUUUCAUUCUAGCCAGAAGCCAGCAUGUAAUAGCACAAAUAAAAUCCCAACCUUUUAUCAAUCAUUUUUCUAACACGUUGCUUUUACUAGGAAGUGUACAAUUAAAAGACGACUAAUCUCUGUAAAUACCUAAUUCUCGUGAUAUAUAACAAAGGCUUCCGUAUAUUAUUUCAAAAUUGAUGGCUAAUAGUAGAAAGAAAACUCUAGGGUUUCAUUCUAGCUAGAUGCACUAGUACGUAAUGGCACAAAUGAAGUGCCAAACUUUUCUCAAAUACUUUUCUAACCCAUUUUUUACCAGAAAGUUCACAAUUGAAAGACGGAUCUAUAUAAUACCUAAUUCUCAUGGUGUGUAGCAAAUAAAUUUUUACAUUCUUGAAAAAGUCUCAAGUAACGUAUUAGUUGUGGCCUCCACACUACAUUCGUAGUGAGAACAACCAUUAAGCACAUGCUUGCCACUCUCCCAUAGAUUUUCUUUAGUUAGGAUUUUAUUUUAUAAAUUUAGCCAAAUGAAAAUUUCUAUCUUUCCUUGUGCUUUUCUUUGGUACAAACCUUCUCUUGUACUUUUGACUUCAAGAAAGAAAAUGUAUAUGGUGCAUGUUGCCACAUUGUAGGAGAAAGUGAUAGCAUUGUUGAAUAAAACACAAUCCAUUCCUUACCUGCCUCCAUGUCUAUCCAUCCGGAUUCAAUAUUAACCGCACAAUGUCCUUAGUGUUUCAUGAUAAUGGAUGUAAGAAUCAAAUUUUAACACAUGAUGUUUAAGUGUCUGACUCAACUAGAGGAAAAGACAAUAUUGAAUUUGAAAAAAAUAUUUUAACUUAUAUAUUAUAUAAUACUAAUAGAAAAUGCUAAAAUAUAUUAUUUGUUAGGAUCUUUAUUAACAUGUUUUGGAACCUAUAGUUCUAGUUAGCUUAAAGAUUUAGAAAUAUGGCAUUAUGUAAUAUUAUCGUAAUAUAUAUAUUCUUGAUCAAUAUCUAAGAAGAACAAAGGAACUCUAAUAUUACUAUAAUAGAUCAAACUCAUUAUAGGAUUAAUUCAAUCUAUACCAAUUUUAAAAGCUAUAAAUUUAAAAAUAAUAAGUGGGGUGGUCCUGAGAUUGUGUUAUCCAUCAGACUGAGUUGCUCGUCUCCUUUGCAAUCAAAGAUAUGGUUGUACGUCCUUACUUGAAUAAGAUCUGCUCUAUAGGCUCGUACAACCAUAUCCUUGAUUGCAAAAGAGACGAGCAAAUCAGUUUGGUAAACGACUCCUAUUCAUAUAUGUAUUUGAUAUGGAUUUUGCGAACUAGAUGCUAGUGUGGUACUCAGAUAAUAUAGAUUGUUCAGCAAGUUGCACUACUCCAAAAUAUUCUGAAUCAGCUUCUUCAUUAAGUACAAGCCAAGUCAUGGGACCUAGCUUUGUUGCUAAUCCACUAUUUUUACUUAGUCCCUAAAUCAUCUAUUAGGCUUCAGAUAAUGUGAAAAGGCAAAGGAACGUGUGUCUCAAAGGAGUCCUAUAAGAACACAUCUUUCCAAAAACAAGUACAUCUCAAACUAAAAUUUUUAUGCCCUUCAAAAGGAUAGGGUGGACCGUAAGGACCCCUCUCUAAAAGGGUGAGAGAUUGAUUUUAGGAGAAGAAGAAAGCUCAUUUACAUUUAUCAUCCUCCAGUAAUUACCUAUAAUUAAUUAGCUCUAAGAAUGAUCCCUCCUAGUAUCAGUUUCCACCACCACUUCCUUGGCAUUACUUAGUUGAAACGUAUGUGAUUCUUAAUAUCGUGACCUCUUUUCUUCUUCUCUCUAUAGAUAUAGAUGUGACAAAAAUUAGCUUGACUUGAAAACCUAACCAAACCAGACCCUAUUGGAUCAUAUUUGGGUGAAGGUUUUAGUUAGGGUUAGGUAUGGGUCAUAUUUUCUGACUCAAACUUUAAAUGUGUUGGGCGUAGAUCAAAGUUUUCUUAUGCCUAGGUCAUGAGGUUAGAGUUUUAUUUAGGUUGAAAUGAUUUAGGUCUAGAUGUUAUGAUCUUGCAUAAAAAUUUUUGAGCGGUUGGUCUUUAUCUUACUACUAGUUAUUUAAAUCAUGUUAAAAAUUAGCCAAUAAAAAUUAUAAAAUAUUAGAUUUGGUAGAUUAGGUUAGGUUUUUUGGGGGUUGAGUCUUGCAAAAUAGAUUAGGUUAAGAUCAAAAUGAGUAACCUAAAAUAACAAAUCAAGUAUCGAACAAGAUUUUGUAAGUUGCCCUUACUUGAACUGACCCACCCCAACCUCUUGCCAUCCUGUAUCUCACCAUGCAAUGCUCUCCUCAUGUCUUGUCCUUUUCUUUUCACAGAAAGUUAAUAAUGAGAUGAGAGAGAUGAUAAUACCAUAAAGAAGUGUAUAUCUACCUCCAAUGAAUAGGGAAUUGCAUUUCCAAGUGAAACUAGAGUAUCCAUGGACUAGGCUCAAGAAGGAACCUCCAAGAGAAAUUAAUUCUCAUUUUUUUUUAUUAUUAAUAUACAUUAAUGGAUAGUUGGGCCUAUGGGUAUUCGUGAAAGUGUCCCUUGGAAUCUUGGGACAUCAUUAAUAGGACUUCUGGGCACUUAUGAAGUAUCCCUAAUAAAUUUUGAAUGGCCAGCUAGUGAUCGUUAUUAUGAAUAUUUUGGAAGUUAUCCAUCGUUAAUAUUUUAUAGGGUCAUGUCCUAUAAAUAUGUAAGGAGUUCUUGUUUUGUGCUUAUCCCUUUCAUGGAGGAUUCCAUAAAGAAGUGUGUGUUUGUCCAAUUGUACUUGUGUUACGUUCGCCUAUCUCAUUCAUUCCAUCCCAAUAUCGAGUUGGUAUCGGAGCAUUAGUUCUUGAUGAUGGAAUGUAAUCAUGGAUCAAAUGAAGAUAGCACUCUGAUUCAUGAACGUGACAUAUGGAAUGUCAUGAUUAAAGACUUGCAGAGACGUGCAACUUCUAGAAGAGCAACUUGCUCGAAACGAUGGUCUAAGACAUGGUGAAUCUCAUCAUGUCUCGGAGCAUGAUACCCCAAGCAACAAAGAAGAGGAACUUACUUGCUUUACAUCAUACUCGCCAUCGAGCAUCGAGUGAGGAGACUUCUCUCCAUUGUCAUCCUUGGAGGGACCAUAGAUUCUAAUCAGACUAUGGCAUUAAAGUUGAUAUCUUGAAAUUUGAAGGAAGUAUCCUACUGGAUGAAUUCGUAGAUUGGCUUCACAACAUGGAGCAAGUCUUUGAAUACAAAGAUGUGCCAGACCACUGCAAAGUGAAGCUUAUAGCCAUAAAAUUGAGAGAGCACGCUUUUAUUUGGUCGGAGCAACUCAAAAUUCGGCAGUAGCAUGAAGGCAAGCCUAGAGCCGGAUCUUGCGAGAAAUAAAAAGCAGUACUCAAAGAGAAAUUUUUACUGCUAAAGAACUAUUACAAGAUCCAAACCUUAAGGAUUCUUGCUUUGCACAAGAACGUAGCUCGGUGGAGGAGCACAGAGGAUGUUAAUCAUCUCGUGAUUUGGUGUGGUAUUUUUGAAUUGGAGGAGCAGAACAUGGCUCGUUAUCCGACAAGCGGUGUAUGAUGUUGUUCAUCUCCGACGAGUUCAUUGGACUUAUCAUGCUAUUUACAAGCUUGCAGUCAAAAGCGAAGAGACAAUUUGAAGAAAAGAAGUAAAUAGAGCACACCCAAUCGAGGGAGUGGUUCUCAAUCUUCUGAUGUUUGAAGCUAGUCUUCUAAGCAUGAUGGUGCAACUCCUUCUAACCUUUUUAUGUCUUCCAACUCCGACCAUAGGUGAGGCUACAAAUGCCAAGACAUUGGACAUAUAGCCUCAAAAUUUUCAAAUAGAAAGGUUGCCACAUCUUGGAGGAAUGCUUGAAGAAAAUGUGGAGAAUUUCCUACCCAUGAUGAGGAUCGGGAGAGGAAGAAGAUAUCACCUGUGGAGAUGAGGAGGCUUUUGUCAUCCGAAAAAGCUUGAAUCCCUCCUAUAUUGUGAAAAACCAUUCUCAUAACUUUCAUGACUGGAGAAGAGAGAUGAGGUGCAAGUUAAUGUUUGUUGGAGGUAGAUGUACUCUUGGUCCAUAGUAUUAUCAUGUCUCCUCUCCCAUUAUCAACAUUCUAUGGAAAGGAAAGGAGAUCUGAGGGGAGCACUGCUUGGUGAGAUAUGGGGUUAGCAAUGAAUUGAGUUGGCUGGUUAGGUAGGGAUAACACCCUACAAAACCUUUGACUGAUACCUGAACUGACCUAACAUCAGGCUAAGAAUUCUCGACUCAUACCCACCCAAUUAUCAUUUUAGCUCACCCUUUUUGAACCUAAUCUAAUAUAAUUUGCAAUGCCAAAGGAAAUACAUACGAGAAACCUCUGGGAACCAGACUGAUAAAAGAUAUAGAGAUGAAAUUUUGAAUAGAAAAUAAAUCAUCCAAAUUCUUUAGAAGUCUUCACUGCUUUAAUAUCAUGUCUCAAUAUGGCCUAACUCCAAGCAUUCCAUUUCGGUAUUAAUAAACCUGCCGCUAGCUAAGCUAAUAUUUGGCACGAGCAUCACUACGCGCAUUUCAUCCAAGCGAAUGAAACAUUCCAUGAAUGGUUGUGAUAUUAGUAAUCAAUUUAUCUGGAGUACGUUUGACAUGUAUUCUUGGAAAUUAAUAUGAUGUGCUUCUUUAUCUCUGUUACUUGGAGGGAUGUAACGAGAAGUGUAUGUAUGAGAGAGGAGGGGAGGGGUACUGAAUGAAAUACUAUUAUGGAGAUGACUCCUGAGUAUUUGCAUUAUAUGGAGAUGACUGGAAAACAAUUUUUUUAAGUAGAGCAUACGCUUUUGUGUUAUUACAAUGAUUCACAGCUUCAGUCGUCCAAAACGGUUUCGACAGGUGGGUCACAGGUUCAGCCAUUCAACCAUGAAUCAGUUGCGAUUGGGAUGGAGAUGGAUCUCCAUCUCCCUCCGCAUUUGCGGUACACUAGGUGUAGUUAUCUCAGGCUAGGCUUUGUAACUAGAUCACUAGUUCCCCGUAUUCCAAGACACUAGCCACAAGUAUAGCAUUCCAACUGAUCAAAAUCCAAAUUAAACUAUGUGCAGAAGAAUGCACGAGUACUAGUAAUGAAGAGUUGCAGUGCUUGUUAAGACAUCACAUUUAAUGCCAGCCAAUAAAUCAACAGAUUAGGCUCAUCAUUGUGAGCAUAUCAACAACUUUGUGAAAUAGUAGUUUUAAAAUAAAUGAAAAGCAGAGAUUUCCAGCAUAUACCAGCUCUUCGUGCAAAUGAUAAAAACAAAACUGACCUUUCCAUACUUAUGAUGAAAGAGUGGAUAUACAGGGAUAAACGAAAGCAUUCAUCACUUUACAUGGAAUAGACGAACAGAAAUGGUAUAUAGACGAACAGAAAUGGUAUAGAAUUGGUAAUAUAAAGACCUAUAUUACUGAACUGCUAGACGUUGGAGAUGAUCCAAGAAGACCUGAAAGCUAACAUCAUCCGUGAAUAUGACAUCUCCACCAGGUGCUGGAGGAUUAUCGGAGUUGUAUGUGACUGAAGGGUUCAAUUUCGCCAAGAGGAAACGGGCCUGCACCAUUCACAAGCAAAUUGAUGUAAUCAGUUAAAGAUCCAGGAACCUUUCAGCUUUGCUGAGGUUUCCCAGCAACUAAUUAGGUUAAGCAGAGUUGAUUAAAUCUGAAUGCUCGGCUGGUCCAGAGCAGUAUUAUUUAAGCCAGUUUCCCCUUGAAAUGCAACAAAUUUAUUGACAGCCCGAAUUAUUAUCUUGCUUGAAAGAAUAACAUAACAUCAACAAGAAGCACAAGAACCAAAACUACCAGUAAAAUUGAUACAACCAAUUACUGAAUUUAAAAGGCCACAAGUGCAGAAAGCAUAUACAAGCAGAAAGCACAUACGACAUACAUCAAAUUCAGAGGCUUUUGUCUAGGGAACAGAGAGCACAUAAGGGAUAUGAUGAAGCCACGACCAGCUAAGUGACAAAUCCUUAAUGCUCAAACUGUGGAAACUAAACAAACAUUACUUAUAUGUUCCUUGCCAGAAUAUGCCACCAUUUUUUCGCUUGAAAUCAACAUUGAUUAGCAAGGCCCAGUUGUGUAUCAGCAUUCAUAUGAACUAUCAAAAGUUUCAAAAGCUAGAAGCAUGAUGCACACACUGUCUAGAGAUAGCUCAAGCAUCUCAAACCAAAACUUUCCCAAGCUGAACCAUCGGUUAGAACGUUUCACCACUACAUCACGAGACAGUUAUAAAGCCUACUUUUCCUCGGAUAAAUUGGCAAACAGAUUGAUCCCACAGUUAAUUUCCCAUAGUUUAACUGGUUAACAGUUUUUACACCAACAGCUGGUAGCUUAGCUGGCUGGCACCUACCUCUCCAAGCGAGAGGCCUCAGGUUAAAACCUGCAUGGUAGUGAAUAACCACCAUGUUCUCAAAAAGAAAAAACUAGCUAAAGGUCCUUUCAAGCUGCCUAAGCACUUAGCUGCGAAAAUAUUUGAAGCUGUUUAUCAAAGAUAUUGAAGAAAAUGGGGUAAUACUUCAAUCAGAUGUCUGCAUGGCACCUUAAGAAAUAUCGAGAAGCGCAAGGCAUAUUGGAACAGCAUUAACUGUCAACUCUUUCAUUUUUCCUUUUUUUUGGCUGGUGGGAAGUUAGGACACAACUUGUAUUGGUUGCUGCCACUUGGUUAGCAGCAUCAGUGACAAUUCUUUUAAUAUCUGAUCUACAUGUGGAAUCCACGCUACAUACUAGCUGGCAGCAAGGCAUCCUUUUCACAAUGAGUUAUUUUUACCUCUAUAUAUAAUCUUCAUCUGGCACUUCCUAUAUCGAGCAUGCUAUGUAAUUACAAGUUUACAACCAUUCACUUUUGCAGUUUACUUACCUUAAAAGAAAAGAUUAAUCAGGCUCUUUUGUCAAAGAUACAUUAGAAGAUAAGCACAUGAACAACCAAGAUAAGUAGCACGUUAUUGUAUCGUAGAAGAGGUCAAAUUGGAUGAGAUCACAAGUCGUAAGAUUCUUUCAUAUUUCUAUCAAACAGAAGUAAUAGGGCAAAACAACAUGAAAGGCAUAAUUAAAUUAUGGUUUGAACCAAUAAUAAGUUAUCAUCACUAGACAUAAAAAUUUCACUUUCUGACAACCAUGAGCUCAUAAAUAUCACGUCCAAGAAUUCAACAGUAUACUUGAUAAAAUACUUUUUCACCAUAUAAGUCAAUAAGAUAUCUCAAUUUGAGCUAUUUGAACCAGAAAGAAAUGUGGACAUAGGGUUAUUGAACUUGAGGUUAGAAAAAACCAAUUUUUUUCAAAAUGAUAGAUAACUUUAGAUCUUAGCCCCAAUAAGACUAAUCUAUUUUUCUCUUAAAAGUUGAAAUUUCUAUAAAAUAUUAUUGUUUGAAUAUUUUGGAAGCUUAUCAAUGAUCAAGGUCAUUCUACAAGUCAAAAGAAUCAGGUAAUUUUAAACGAUAUAUAACAGCUUUAGUUUGUAAAAGUAUGACCUGGCUUUCAAUCUUACAAUCCAUACUAAUCCUGAUCCAGGGAUCUGAUCCAGAUCACCAAGGGCCAUUUUGAUCCGAAUCAUACAGUCCUGGUCAUGGAUUGUAAGAUCCUAACAAUGAUGCAUGGAUAUUUCUAUCAUCAGUACCAUGUCUUUAAAUGCCAGUCAAAUGAAACUGAAAAGAAAGGGGCAAAAAAAUUAUACAGUAAUACUUCAAAAUCCCUAUAGUCCGCGAUUGCAGACAACCAAAUUAUAAUUAGCUCUAUGUUAUUAAUGAAUCCUAAUCGCAUGACUAAAUCAAUGAAAGAUAUAGGUCAAAAAUGAUAUAGUUUUACCACGUAUAUGUUACUAACAAAAGACAAACUGUACAAUUAUAAUGAUUGAUGUCUGAGGAACUUAAUGAAAAGUGACCUGGGAGCCGUAUUGGUCGCAUAUGACCAAACGAGGAACAGGAAACCGCUCUUUGGCUAUUGCAUCAGCAUCAUCGCGUGGGGCUUGCAACAAUUGAGCAAAUGGCUGCAAGAAACAUAGCAGUUAUGUUUAAAGUUUGAGUAAACCUGCAGCAGCAGCAUUCUUGAGGCAAAUAGACCACAGAAAUUUGCAGACUAGUUCAUGGAUGCAAAAGCAUUAACAAACCAGCCAAGUCAACAAUAUUUCAGAAGUAUGCAUUUGUCCAAAUUAUUACUAAAUUAUACAACUGGGAAGCAUAGACCAAUAUAACUAAGGAAAGCAUGAUAUGACAUGGAAAAAAAAACACAAGGUGCAGAUUUUCAUUUGACUGUUACAUUCUACACAGGUCAGAACACUCUUAACAUCCCAAACAAGAGAGGCUUUAAUUACUAGUGCAAUUUAAUCAUCCCAUAGCAUUGUAGCAUUAGAACUCAUUUUGCUACCUAACUUGAAUAAUAGAUGCAAUAUUGUAUGCAAAAUAGGAAAGACUUCAUUGGAUUUUCUAAAUUUUUCAGGUAUAAAUUUUGUAGCCUUCCUGUUCUCAUCAUAGGCUUCCAGACUUAUAGAUUUAACUGCACAGGUAGCUUCAAUUUCCAAAACCAUCACCUACAAUAAUAUAACCAAGCAGAUAGAUGGAUUAAGCAGUUUAUUACAAGUUUCCAAGACCAAAAUUGGCUCUUUUGUGAUCAAAUAGUUGAAUAUAAACAGUUGCCCGGAAGACAACAUUGAUGACAAUCUGCUCCAUAACCUAUCCAAUGAUUUCAGCAGGUCGGAUCGGUAAUCAUAAGAAAUAAUUGGCAACCAAAAUUACCGCUAUGAUAUGGGACAACUAAUAGGAGAAAACCAGCACCAACUCCACCUGAGUCGAGAAGCAUAAAGAAGAUUCCAACUUACAAGUCACUAAACGGGAAUGUGAACCCUAGUGCACUCAUUUAGGUUUUAAAGCUAACAAGGCAUGUUUGGGAAAAAAAGUGGAAAACUAACUAGAGGUGAAUCAAAUGCUAGAAACUUGUAUCUCCUGAAAGGUGUAUCCACUGGUUCAUCCUUCAACUCCAAAUCACCUAUAAAAGUGUUAUUUCUUCCUGAUACCAUUAUUUGUACAUUUUCAUGAAAAACCACACCAGAUACUUCGCCGCUACCUCCCCUUAUGAAGCCGAUGUUAGACAACUCGUAGGAGAUACAUGACUACAUUCUCUCUGUCCAAACAGACAUUCUCCUCUCCUUUUUUUCAAAAUUCAAACAAACGCAAGUAGUUCCUUUACCCCAUCACAACAUAGUUCUGAGAUGUAGAGAUCUCAUCUAGGAACAGCAUCAGUCAGUAGCCAGUUUAUGACCAAUAUACUGGGAGUUACUUCCUAAACAAUCCUUUUUUCAUGAAGAUGGACUAAAUGUUAAGCUGUUUGUUGAAAUAAUAGUCAUAGCAUAAGGCCCAACUUCUAACACUAUUUUGAUUAUGUUCACUUACUCCAGCAGUUGAUAGACAGCCUUGAUUUGCAGGCAAUCUUCAAUAGUCUGUUCUUCACAGUUUCAACAAAAUGGAUCAUAUUUGGUAGGUCCAAUUUAACAGACUAAAAUAGAAUAAAAAUGAUGUCAUAGAAGAACAAGCGAAAAGCUCCUAAACAAUAAGAGAUUGUCUGAAUGUCGGAACAGCAUAUCCAAGUUACGUCUUCACAGGUAUAGAAUGGGCUGCAGAGAGGAGGUAGGAGGAUGGUGAACUUCGAGGAAUUGGGAGGAUGCCAUGAUUGGGCAAUCAUAAGAUUUUUGGGAUGCCAGAAUUCACAAAUCUAAAGUGAUUUCCAGUACUACUGAUACAUAUAGGGCCUGAGUUAUGGGCCUGAGUUAUUGGCAUACCCUAAUCAUUACCAAUUGUUAUCUUCUUAAGCCAUCUCCCAGCAACUCCCACCAUUCUCUGAGGUAUCACAUAAUAAGCAAAGGGGAGCCAGGAAUCCAAACAAGGCCUAGAAGCUGGACCAGUUCAUUACUUCAUACUAACAAAGAAGUGAGAUAGAUGUAGGGCCUGUUUGAAUGCCAGAGUCGGCCAUCCUGAAUUAAGAUCAGCCUGAGACCCCCACAUUUAAGGAUUCUUGGGUGGAAGAUGACCGCACUGAAAAGGUUACACGAGCAAUUGGUGGCCAAUGGAGGUAAUCCAUUCCGUUGAGAAGGUAUUUUAUCUUAUCCCUACAUUUUAGGGAUAAUGAACUCAAUGAAAUCAGUGAUCUUAAAAAUCUUCUUAACCCAUCACCUCUUUCUCAGAGCUUUCCCACAGAGCAUACGCAAUUGCCGGAUAAUAGAAUCGGCAUCCAAACAGGCCCGUAUUAUGUAGUAUACAGGACAUAGAUGAAAAAAUCAAGUGGAACUUAAGCUUUACACCAUUAAUAAAGAUACAGAAGUAAGAGCCAAAGCAACUGCUAGUUGGCACCAGAAGGAAUAUAUGAUGCAUUAAACAAAAGAGAGAGAGGACCUAAAAGUAUAUUAUCGAACAUAAUUUUUUAACCUAAAUAACAAAGACAUUGCAGUUAUCACUAAACUUGCUAGCAUAUAGUCAAGAAUCAGACAACUGACACUUUAGCCUGUAGUCUGUACACCCCAGCUUGGCAUAUUCACUAAAUUCUGGAUAGAUCAAACUAUACGAAGGACUACUUCUAAAUGCAGCCUUUACAAUAAUCUGCAUCAUAAUUACAGUUAACGAACAUACAUGGUGCAAAUUGUUAUCUUGCAAAUAGGUGUCUUGCAUCCAGGUCCAAACAUAAUAUAAUGAUUAAUAAAACACAGGAUUCAAACUUCUAAAAUUAUAAAGAUAAUGGAAUUGUAAUUCAAAGGAUGUAUUAUCUGUAAAAUCACAUUGCUGCAAAGAUCACCUGAUGUUCAGCUUGAUUUUGGUAUCCAGCAUUCCGCCACUGGGCAAUGCUUGCUCCAUGAAAUACAACAACAAUAAAGUAGGAAUCCAAUAGAAGGAUCCUAUCAGCAGCAAUUGCAGUUACAUCAAGGAGAGCAGGCUCAGGGUCUGACUGGAACGAGUAAGAUAUCAGUGAAGGCUGGAUCAUCACAACUGAAUUGGCUACAUUCUCUCUAUUGAGGAUCAUUCUGUAAUAUGCAGUUUCAUCCGGACUGUUAUUAAAAACCUGCAUGAGAAGUGUCAGUGGAGUAAAAAAGACUAGCUAAAAAGUAAAUAAAGAUUCUAAAUAAGUUUGAAAACAUCAUCAAGUCAUGUAAUCAUGUCAAAACAAAAAUCAAAAAAAGGUAAUGUCAUACCUGGACAAACUGAGAACGCCUUAAAUGAAACAUAAACUGCGGAAAUAUUGAUAAACGUGGGGAUAGGCUAAACGAGGAUGGACUAUCCUUCUGAUAAUCUCCAAACUUCGAACAUAAACGAAUUAAUGAUCGAUCAAGCCAUCUUAUUGGGUCAAAAUCAGCCUGCAAUAGUAAUUAGGAAUUAUGGCCUCAUUAUGUAGAGAUGGCAUUAUACCAGGCACAAGAAAAAAAUUAAAGUUUCCUUGUUUCUCAUCUAGAAGACUACUUGGUAUGGUACCUGUAGUAUCAUCUACAAGCAGUGCAGUUAUUGACACAAGCAGUUUAGUCUGAACUAACAUUUUCUACUGUUAUUCUUUAGUGGCAUCAUUGGAUUCCAAACUUCCAAUUAUGAAGGCCUCGAUCCCCCCCCCCCCCCCCGNGAGAGAGAGAGAGAGGAAGGAANNNNNNNNNNGUAUCUUUCUCACUUUAUUGGUUAUGAUUAUGAGCCCUUGUUUACGAAUUUGCUAACAUAAAUACCAAAAUUAUCAAUCAGACAAUUUGAUUGGACCGAAAUUAAGAAUAAGUGAGAAAUGCAUCAAGAAGAUAACCAUCGUCAUUUUGCUUUAGUCGAAAAGGAUACUCUAUCUGACAUCUUGUAAAAGAGUUAUAUGCAAGAUUCGCCAAAUCGGUACAGGAGGCAUGGUACCGAAGGCCGUACCGGGUGUACUGACAAAAGGAGAGCCGAAGAAGGAGGAGGAGAGGGAGAAAAACAGAAGAAAGGAGGGAGAGAAAGGGAGAGGGAAGAGAAGAGAGAGAGGGUGAAGUUGGCAAACUGUUUGCCAAUUUCGAUCCAAAAUCGGCAAAAUAAGAAAAAGGGAACCUCUGUUUCAAAACAGGGGAUCCCUAUUUCGAUUAGGGCUUUCGAGCCCUCCCUCCCUCUCUCUCGGCCUCUCUCUCCCGAUCCCUCCCUCCCUUCCUCUCCCUCUCCCUCUCCCUCUCCCUCUCUCUUUUCCUCUCUCUCCUUCUCCCUCUACCUCCACUUCGAACGGAGGUAAUGAAUCGUGCAAUAACCAACAGCUCCAGUUUGGUACUCCCCGAAUCAGCUGGUUUGACAUGGUUUAGCAAACCUUGGUUACUUGUAAUCAAUGUUUGUAGUUUUGGUAUCGGAUUGCAUACUUGUGGCUGAUUGGCACAGUACCGGUACCGGUACCAUACUCCACUCUACCGAUCUAUACCGAGCUGAACCAUCCUCGAUUAUUGAGAGGCAAGGAUUAAUUGGCGUGAACAAGGCACUUAAAAGCUGAACUACCCGGAAUCGCUCAGUUCCAAGCGGUUCAGCCUGGUAAGAACCGAAACUAAACAGUUUGGGCCUCCUUUUGUACCAAGACCACGAACCAUCCUGGUUUGUGGUCAAUAUGGUACAAUACCGACCGAAUCAGGCGGUUCGGUCUAAUAUUGUAUACAAUGUAUAUACUAGCAGCAAGGAACAUAGGCUACUUGUAUAAUUAUUAUAAUUAGGAAAGCAUCUGUUUUCACUUCUGUCCUUCAAUGAAAUUUUCAAAACUCUCUCUCUUAAGAAAUAAAUAUAGUUUUGGAUUGGACAUGGAGUAAUUUGGGCAUACUUUUUUGUUCCUAUAAUUUACAUAUUAACAGAUCUCACUCAUGAAUAAGACCGGGUUAAUGUUGUCAAUGAGUUAGAUAAGUCACGGGGACACAACAUCAAACCUCCAAACUACUGAUGGAGCUGCCAAAUAAAAAAAGUUGAGAAUUUUAAUGGUUUGAAAGCCCAUGCAAUUUGUGCAUAAGAUCAUUGUGCCUCCUUGAUGAACCCUUUAAAUCUUUCAUGAUGGAAAUUCUGAAUUUAUAGUUUCAGAAACAACGUCAAAUUUUUCAGUUUCAUCUUCUCUCAUCAUCAAAUUUUAAUGGUUUUGAAAGCCCAUGCAAUUUUUGCAUAAUAUUAGUGCACCACCUUGGUGCACUAUUGAAAUAUUUUCAAGAAGGAAAUUCUGCAUUUUACAGCUUUAGGAUCCGCAUCAAAUUUUCAAUUUCUUCUCUUCUCAAUUUCUCAUCAUCGAAUGUCUCAACAUCUCCAAUAAACUGACUGAUCUGAUAUUUCCCAAAAGUUUAGCAUUCUCUAAUUAAAAGCUGAAAACCUUGUUUAGCACUUGUUAUUGUAUUUGUGUAAUAAAUUAUGCUUUAUGACAAACAUCUUUUGUUCAUCCUCCUGGUUUGCAGGACUGCUAGCAAUCCCAAUCAUUAUUACACAAAAUCUAAUAUACACAGAGCAUGGACAAUUUCGUUUAGUUCUUUUAAUUGUUCAAUGGAAAUGGAAAUAUCAUCUCAUUUUCAUUAGUCAAAUCAUUAAAAUCCUGCAUGCCUCAGGAGUUGCCUCCAUCCAACCUCACACCCUUCCCACACAAAAUUUGGUAUACAUUAAGAAUCUAACACAUCUUCCAAAUUUUACUUCCCAGUUUUAUCACUCAUCAAGUUUUCAAGAUUUCUUCCAUACGGAUUGGGUGAGGCACUGACGGUUGCAACUCAUCGGGGCACCAAAAAUUUGUUACACUGUGCUUAAGAUUAUGAAGCUUUUUCCUAUUAAAGGAUAGGAGGAAUGCCAUAUUCGGACUUGUAAUUAGAACCUAGCUCAACCUUUGAACAAAGUCAAACAACUUUUUAAGUGCAAUAUAGGUCCUUGUUAUCGAAGAACCAGCCUUAUGGAUAUCAUGGAUCCACAGAUGCAAAAUCCUGACUAAACCUCAUAACAAAUGGUGUAAAUGAGUAGGUUCUCAGAAAAAAAAAAUUGGAUCUGAAUUUUACCAAACUUGGCAACAUCUCAUGCCAAAACCAGACCUGACCCCAUGCAUAUGAACCACUAUUCUUGGUCAUACUAAUAAUUUUAUUAAUAAAUAUGCACAUUACCUUAAAAGCACCUAAGAACAGAUUGAAAAUUCUAAUAUUAUAUCCUGAAAACAAAAGGUUAUUAUAUUUUUAAAUAAAUCCCCUGAUCAUUUCCACCCUAUGCGACCUUGUUAACCAAAAUCAAACAACCUCCAAAACACUAAGAAAAUCUCAAGAUGAACAAUAUGCAGUCAAAGGAAUUGAUAGACAGUUCACCCUCUCGUUUCUCCAUUCUUUCUUUUCUCUUUUCUGCAACAUACCAUCUGUAAAUAACAUCAUUCUUCCUAAAUGAAAAUCCUUCAAGUUAUCCUCAUUUGCAUAAAUUGCCCACUUUUGACAAUCCGGAUAGCAACGAACAGUAACAUUUUUUUUUCUAGCAAAAUGCAUUUGAAGAAGCAGGGUCAAUUUCUUUUUAUGACCAAAGAAACUAUCAAGACUGCAAGGUAAGGGCUAAAAGUGUUGUGUUAGGACCUGACUUUAUUGAAUGGAGAUAAUGAUCAAGAAUUUUUACACCAGAUGCUUAUAAAUAUUAAAGAAAUUAUACAGUGGUGUAUCCUAGAUUCCUGAGUUUGACACAUCACUCUCAAGAUUCCACAAAAUAUUAUGCAAAAAUACAUAACACUAUUGAUAGGCAAAAUAAUCAAAGGCCUAAUAAGCAUACGUCCCAUGGAAGGCAUUACGUAGGGAACAAUGUGCGAGUUUCUACAGAAUUUUCUCAACGUGAUGCAUAGAUGUAACUUUAUGUGAUGCAUAGAUGUAACUUUAUAUAACAUUGUCUAUUAACCUUGAGUUGUUUUAUUGGAAAGCCUUACCUUAAGGCAACAUACAGGGUAAACAUUGAAAAGCUUUGGGCAACACAUCUCUUUUUUGCAUUUUUUUCCCUUAUCUAUUCCUAAGAGCCCUUUAAACCCACUAUCAUCCACUCUCAAAGGUCUCUUCUCCCAACUACUCUAUGUAUCUAUUUCCAGUCAUCAUCAUCUUAUUUCAUCUCCAUUCACAAUUCCCAUGACCCAAUCCCGAAAAACUAAAGGGAAAAGAAAAAAGGUCAUGGACAAGAUUCGUCAUCUCGGUACCGAACCCUGUAUCGGUAUCAUUCUACUAUAGUGUUGGUAUGCAGUAUGAUACGGUAAGAUUCAGCAUAUCGAGUGUUGGUACAGUACAGUACCAUAUAUCGGUUCGGUACCGGUAUGGUGCAGUAAUGCUCGGAAUUGUACCGUACCAACCGGUACGGAAAACUCAAUCAUGGCGAUAUUGAGGAUAAAGAUGAGGAUAAUUAGUGGAAAGCAUCAAAUCUGAAGACCUGGAAGGUGAGCAUAAUUUCUCUUCAUUCUUUUUUAGUUUAGUACUUCUAAAAUCUUUGAAUCAGAUGUCAAUCAUUGUUGACAAUACUCUCCUUUCCCACAAACUCAUGAGAAGGUUAAACAAAUGAAAAGGUCCCAAACAGAUUAGUCAAGGCACACUGGCAUGCAACCACCCACAUGUCAGCCCAAUAAAACUUUCCGAAAUGACCAAAUGAGUGAAGAUAUAAUCAAGGUCGGCGAAAUCGUCCUGAACCGGGCGGUUCAGUUCGUUCCGAGUCGUACCGGUGGCUCACCAGUACGGUUCCGGCAACGAAAACGAGACGCGUUGCCAGAACCGGAGAAGGAGAAGGAAAAGGAAAGAGAGAGCGAAUGGGGGAGGGAGGGAGAAGGAGAGGUGGCAGAUGUCGGCAGAGGGCCACCGGGCGGGGGGGGGGGGGGGGGGGGUGGAGGCUGUGGCUGCUUGCCGAUUUUACUUAAAAAUUCCGAAAAUUUUUAACCACUUGCCAACUUCACUUACAAAUGAUGCUUAACCUAAUUAAACCAUUUCCUAAAAGUUAAAACUUUUGGUUGACUGAUUCCUACACUACUUCAGAUAUAUUUGUGUGCCAUACCCUAGAUGUCUCAAAAGCUUUGCACACUCCAUUACAUUCCACAUCCAAACUUUUGUGAUAUUUCCAGCUUGUAAAACUAGGUAUAGCUUUGACAACAUUGCUCAAAAGAUUACCAUCUGGGGUUGGGGACAGGGAACAAAGCUAUCCAUGCCACCAUCAAAAUAUUUUGAAAAACAACAGAUAUUUUAGUCUUUUAAGGUUUAACCUUUGUAAAAUUCAAAGAAAAAGGUGUGAGAGAGAGAGAAGAAAAGAAAAAUAAAAAACACUGAUUCAUAGAUAUGUCCAGUCUACUAUUUUGCCAAGCACUCUAUACUUCCUAUCAUUAUGUAGAAUUACAACUUGGUCCACUUCCCCACACAAAACAUUUUCCAAUAUUUUCUCAUGCUUCAUGCAUGCAACCAUGAGAUCUACAUUUUAACCUCUCUAUAUUACUAAAAGUCUAAAACAGAGACGAGAAAUUAUAUUACUAAAAAGCCCUUUAAACUACAUUCCCAGAAACCCACCCAAAAAACAUCAACAGAUAAAAUAGCAUAACAUACACUCAAAACACAUAUUAAGUUGAUUAUCUAAAUCGCAAUUACCAAAUCUGCUAUCUCCGAGGCUUUGAGGUCUCUGCCAGGGUAACAAGUUUUUAGAUCAUUUAGUAUGAAUAUAAAAAUCAGGUCUAUUAUAACUCUAUCCUUGUUAGAUCCUUCAGUACUCAUCGAGUCUUCCGCAAAAAUUCAGUCAACCUCUUGAUCUAACUUCAUCCACACUACUAAGUAAAUAUGAAAGAAUUUUUGCGAAUAACAUUCCAAAAUUCUCAUAGGCAUCUUGACACUAGCAACCCCAUGGCAAACACCAAUAUGGACAACAUGUGGAGUUGUUCAUCUAUGCAUGCCUCAGCCACCUUCAUACUCAAAAUUAAAAUAUCAAUCCAACUGACAGAACAUCCUUGAACUAAAGCGCCUAUUAGAAUUUUUCUGGAUGAACUUAAUAAAGAAGAUUAAGUAAAAGUUAUCUGGAAGAUUUCAGUAAUAGAACUAUAAAAACUACUAUGAGAAUAAUUAUAACAAGAAAUUAGUCUGUUAAAUUUCGCUUUUUUCCUAGAACAGAAAUGAAAAAGGAGAGUUCAACUGGUAAUUAUCUCUACAUGCAGUUAAUUCAUGAAUAACAAAGUACCUCCAUUUCCAUUUUAAAAGAAACUAAGCGUGCCAUGACUGCAGCAGCUGCUUCUUGAUCAAACCCAGCUAUCAAAUCCUAUGAAAGUUGAAGUUAGUAAUCAGCAAGAUGCAUUUUGAUGUUCUACAUAUUCUGAUAAUUUAUGAAAGAAAAUCCUAAAUAAUGAAAAGGUACCAUAGACUAAACAAGGUGCCUUAAAUGUCUAUACAAAGUCUCAGAAGCAACCAUAUCCAAUUAAAGAACAUAUCCAAAGAUACAUCAUACUAUAGAACAUAAUGGACUGAAAGAAAAUAAUAACAAAUUACAUAAAUAUCAAGAAAUGUCUCUUCUUUACCUCAAUGGCCAACUUUUCCCCUGAACUGAAAGUUAAGCAAGCUCAAGUUUUCAAUUAGUAAGGCAAAAACAAGCUGAAGCAGUGCAAAUUGUUGAAAUUUACAUACCUAAUGUAUGCACAAGUAAAUGGGAUAUGAUGGAGCUAAUUGUUCGUGAUUACAGUCUUUUUUAUUUAUGUUUUUGCCGUAAUAUGCCAGUAUUUACCGUAUCUCUUGCUUACAGGCCAUAUUUUAUAUGCUUCAUAUGUUAUUGUGCCAUUGAUUGAGUCCAGAUAAAUCCAAAGCUGUAAAAUGUUUAACCAGAUACUCAUAAGGGGUAUAUUUGUCCCUUUUCCUCAACCAGUGACCAGAACAUGUAUUUAACAAAUAAAAUGUUGCACGAACUGAAGAUCAGCUCAUGCAGCAUCCUAUCCGUCUGCAGUCUCUUUCACAUCUCUUCUUCUCUGUCUUCUUCCUCUCUCGCACAUUCCUUCCUCUGUUUCUCCUAUCACUUGUUCCUCUUCUUUCAAUCCUAUUAAUCUUGCUCAUAUCAACCAUACUAUCCAAGUGAUCAUGCAAUACUGAUGGCCUAUAUCCUUGUUAAUUAAACCAAGUAUAAACAAUUUUUAACAUCUAUGACUUCAUCAUAGAAAUAUUAACAGAUUAUUGCCUUCCACUUACUUCUACUUGCUACUAAUUCUUCCCUUCUCCUAUGGAUAAGUUUUGGAACUGACAACUGAUCAUAUCUGAGAUACUUCUAUGAAACCAUUCAGACAUCCAAAAACGACCCCUCCAUCCUUCCACUGAAUAUACACCACACCAACUCUAGUGCUUAAUGUGUCCUCUUUGUCUAUACUUCAGAUCUUCCACACAGAUCUAUUCUUCAGAUAUUCACACAAGUAUGUUCCAAUCUAUAUAACUCAGACAUCAAAAAUUCCUAUUCCAACAAAUCACAACUCCCCAACUCUUAACAUGAACCUCAAUAUUCUUAAUUUCAUUUAACACUAGAAAACACUGAAACAUAGGUGUUCUUUUAGAAGACAUGAAGAGGAUGAAGAGCAUAACUGUCUUUCCAACUAACCAAAGAAGAUGGACAACUAUUUGGAUGGAACUUAUUUGAUGAUGAAAUAGCUGAAGGGACAGAGGUUGGUGGGAGUAAGUGUAUUUCUCCCUUUAAGCAAAAUGGAAAUAGAAAAGAAGAACCAUUUACUUAAGACAUUACAUGUACAGGUAACACUCAUUUGAAUUCAACAAAAAUACUCAAAAAAUCCAAUUCCUCAAGAAUAAAAAGUAGAUGUCCCAAAUUUAUUUCAAAACCUCGAUUUUUGGCUCUGAGUCAAUUUUUCGACUUCCAAAUACCAAGGUAUUUCUCAAAUCCUAAAGUUUCAUAAUUUCUAUUAUACCUAAGCAUUACUACAGAACAAAAGCCCAGUUAUAAAAGUCUUACAAAUUAGUCUCCUAAGUCUGUCAUACAAAAUGAUGCUUAACAGCACAUGGCAUUUCCACAGACUGGUUCAUUUUCAGAUUUCUUUUUUUCAUUCACAUACAUGUGAAUUUUUAAAAAUAUAAGUUUGGUUAUUACAUGACAAAUCAACAAAACCAGCAUAUAAGAUGCCUGCAGAAUUGGGAAAAUCUGGAAUGCUAUAGAUAGAAAACUCAUGAUUAAGGAUUUAAAGGUCAGCAUGGUAUUGAAGCGGAAAUUAUUUAAUAUUAUAUUAUUGAACCAAAUCAUAAUGGCCUGUAGCAUGAUACACUGGUCUGUACAACCGUAGGGUGCAGGUUAGUGCAUGCACAGUACAGCAGGAAAGCACAGACAGAUAGUAAGCUUGGCUCUUAAAAUGGACCACUGGUAUGUGACCAGCAUGGCAACCAUUGUAUGGUGCAGUGCUGUUUUGGCCCAUGACCCUUGCAUGGGUAUGAUCCUAUGAUGCUAAAGACACUAGCCCGGGCUCUGAAACAAGAUCCGAGAACAGAGAAUACAUGUGGAUGAAAUAACGAGUUUGCAUCUCAUUAAAUUCCAAUUAGCAAAUCUACUGGAAAGCAGUCACCUAAGAAAGAGCAGAAAAUGCAGCACCUAAAUCAAGGUAAUCAAAGAUAUGCCUCCUGGACAGUCCAUCAUGCUUGAUAAUAAGGAACAAGAUCAAGCAUUACGCCAGAAUAAUAAUUGAAGUCUACAACAUGCAACUACCAAAUAGGUAAAACACAGGCAAAAAAUUUUAUAAUUUGUGUAGCUAUGACAAUUAAUCAAAAUAGGUAAAUGC
This 23445-nucleotide long non-coding RNA is filed under the name Phoenix dactylifera (date palm). RNAcentral describes it as "long non-coding RNA (PDAC_LNC002962)". Lineage: Eukaryota; Viridiplantae; Streptophyta; Magnoliopsida; Arecales; Arecaceae. The record is from RNAcentral.